RNAcentral lists this ribosomal RNA (465 nucleotides) under uncultured Klebsiella sp. Its description in RNAcentral is "bacterial SSU rRNA". It matches the Rfam family "Bacterial small subunit ribosomal RNA", at positions 338 to 795 of the family's 1533-position model. The record is from RNAcentral. Lineage: Bacteria; Pseudomonadati; Pseudomonadota; Gammaproteobacteria; Enterobacterales; Enterobacteriaceae.
CCUACGGGUGGCUGCAGUGGGGAAUAUUGCACAAUGGGCGCAAGCCUGAUGCAGCCAUGCCGCGUGUGUGAAGAAGGCCUUCGGGUUGUAAAGCACUUUCAGCGGGGAGGAAGGCGGUGAGGUUAAUAACCUCAUCGAUUGACGUUACCCGCAGAAGAAGCACCGGCUAACUCCGUGCCAGCAGCCGCGGUAAUACGGAGGGUGCAAGCGUUAAUCGGAAUUACUGGGCGUAAAGCGCACGCAGGCGGUCUGUCAAGUCGGAUGUGAAAUCCCCGGGCUCAACCUGGGAACUGCAUUCGAAACUGGCAGGCUAGAGUCUUGUAGAGGGAGGUAGAAUUCCAGGUGUAGCGGUGAAAUGCGUAGAGAUCUGGAGGAAUACCGGUGGCGAAGGCGGCCCCCUGGACAAAGACUGACGCUCAGGUGCGAAAGCGUGGGGAGCAAACAGGAUUAGAUACCCCUGUAGUC